Vicia villosa (hairy vetch) is the source of this 790-nucleotide long non-coding RNA. RefSeq lists it as uncharacterized. The transcript has 4 exons. The record is from RefSeq and is a predicted model, not a curated record. NCBI's taxonomy places the organism in Eukaryota, Viridiplantae, Streptophyta, Magnoliopsida, Fabales, Fabaceae.
UCAUAGUAAAUGAAAUCAAAUUCAAAUUCGUCUGAAUUAUCAGGCCCAAACACAUGUCCAAAUGUUACUUAUGUUGCCAUUCCUAAUGAUAGUGACCAGUACUUUUCGACUUGCUAUGUUAAACGAUUUCUAAUUUGCGCCUAGUUUUUCAACUUGAUAUGUGAACAUUUUUCUUAUUUGCAUUGAUGUUAUAGAUUCAUAAUGGAUUAUUUAUUUAGAAUUUUGAUUGUAUCAGAAACCCAUAAGUUGAAUUGCAAGCUCAAGAUUGAGCUCAUAGGAGUGGUCAAAAGGGGUAGGCAAGACAGAGUGAAGAAAGGUUUCUUCCUCAUGAAAGCGGAUGAUCAAGUGAGGCAGUUUAAGAGAGUGCAAUAAAGACAAAGUUAUUUAUUUAUGGUGUGAUCAACUGGGAUGCUGAGUUUUACGCUAAGAGUGCGACACCGUUUUUGCAACUUGCGACAUCCCUGCCUCCGGUAUCCUAUGGAGCCCGUAUGGGCUAGAGUGGAGGAUGUUGUGGAAAGUUUGUGUUAUCAUAUAGGUAAUUAAACUAAUUAUUUUAUCAUAAAAGUUUUUGUUAUCAACUACUUAUAUCAUCAUAUAGGUAAUUCAACUACUUAUAUUACCAUAUAGGUGUUACGCAGUGCAGGAAAGUGUCAAAUGUCUUUUAUGAAGGUGGAUGCUUGAAAAUUUCUCAAAAUGAUUAUUGAUUGGCUAGCUAGUGACCUAGUAACUUCAAGAGAGAUGAAGGUAUAGACAAUUUGAAAACAAACAAGCACUCCAACAUCUUAUCGGG